Molecule: ribosomal RNA, 404 nt
Filed under: Fusobacteriota bacterium
Lineage: Bacteria; Fusobacteriati; Fusobacteriota
Description: Fusobacteria bacterium partial 16S ribosomal RNA
Rfam family: Bacterial small subunit ribosomal RNA
Source: RNAcentral
UGGGGAAUAUUGCACAAUGGAGGGAACUCUGAUGCAGCGACGCCGCGUGAGUGAUGAAGGACUUCGUUUCGUAAAACUCUGUUCUAUGGGAAGAAAAGGACUGUACCAUAGGAGAAAGCUCCGGCUAAAUACGUGCCAGCAGCCGCGGUAAUACGUAUGGAGCGAGCGUUGUCCGGAAUUAUUGGGCGUAAAGGGUGCGCAGGCGGCUUUACAAGUUGGAUGUGAAAUAUUGUGGCUCAACCACAAACGUGCAUCCAAAACUGCAAAGCUUGAGUUAAGGAGAGGUAAGUGGAAUUCCUGGUGUAGCGGUGGAAUGCGUAGAUAUCAGGAGGAAUACCGGUGGCGAAGGCGACUUACUGAACUUAAACUGACGCUCAGGCACGAAAGCGUGGGGAGCAAACAGG